This 24-nucleotide microRNA is filed under the name Mus musculus (house mouse). RNAcentral describes it as "mmu-miR-7651-3p". The record is from miRBase by way of RNAcentral. Lineage: Eukaryota; Metazoa; Chordata; Mammalia; Rodentia; Muridae.
UCAGUUUGGUUUUUUUCCCCUUGA